RNAcentral lists this ribosomal RNA (1296 nucleotides) under Triticum aestivum (bread wheat). Its description in RNAcentral is "partial small subunit ribosomal RNA". Lineage: Eukaryota; Viridiplantae; Streptophyta; Magnoliopsida; Poales; Poaceae. The record is from RNAcentral.
AUGGCGACCAAGGCGGCGCGUUCCCGGCCGUUCUUGAUAAUCAUGGACAUGGUGAAAAACUACGACCUCCUGGAAGACCCAGGAUCGCUUGGCUUGGAAGUCGUGGAGUGCAAGAGGAGUGCCGUCGGCUGCGGGCCGACUGGCGCGCUCGUCUUGGAGGGCGUCUCGCUCUACUUGGUCCGCGGCGGCGACGACGACGACCUGGAGCGCUACCCCCGGAUGUGUGUCCGCGUGUCCGACCAGGCGUUCGACCUCGUCAGCGCGGAGAUCGACGACAGGACGGCGGACAUCUGGGGAAGGAAUCUCCACAUGGGCUGCCGCGUCUUCUCCAUGCAAGGGGAUGUCAUGGUCAUCAGCCUGGUGUUCAUCGCCAACCACGAUCCCAGACCUUUCCGGGCGUACUACCUCGUCUACGACUCUGCCACCACGUCUCUCUUCAUGAUCCCGUACCCGGCUACGGAUUGCCUAACCAUCGGCAAGCCGUGCCCUCUCCCGGUGCGCCGCCCAGACGACGGCCGCUACACUCUGGCCUUCCUGAAUCACGAGCCGGAUGCGCUCUGCCUGUGGUCACUGCCGCCUCUGCCUGACAACAUGAAGCCUCCGGCACUGCCGCUUCCGCAGAACGACAUGGAUCCGUGGGUGGCCAAGAGCCGUCGGCCUACCAUUUCCGACCGCUUGGAUGUGCACGUGGUCUUUUCGUCCAAGGACUAUGCUUUCUGGGUGGAUCUCAAGCAAGGUAUCCUGUAUUGCAGCAUCAGUGAUAUGCUCAAUGGUGAAGAGCCCGUGGACUUCAAGUAUAUCCCGUUGCCCAAGGAGUGCAGCAUGCCCACCGACAUAAUGGACGCGGCGCAUGUGCACCGCAAUAUGGGCUUGGACGGGGACUCCACCAUCUGGUUCGUUGCCAUCGAACCAUCAGAAAACAGUGUCAGGCACACCAAUGUGAAGGUUUGGACUCUGGACCUCACACAGCUCAUGUCCAAGAAGAAGACUAAGAAGUGGCAAAAACUCAGGGAGUUCAAAAUGCAAAGCAUCUGGCGGCUGUAUGCGUUCCGGAAGAAGGGGCUGCCGAGGACCGAACCCAGGUUUCCCGUCUGGAGGCAAGAGCGCGACGGUGGCAUACUUUACAUGCUGCUGCCUAGGCUCAACGACAGGCAUGGCUACCUUGUUGGCAUUCACAUCGGGUGCAGCACAAGUAAGAUGCGUCUUCUGCCGUACAGAUCUCUCUCCAUUCCAUGGAUCAACCACCCUGUUGUGUUGCCUUCUGAUUUCUUCACUCUGGGGGACACAGUCGUUUGA